This 497-nucleotide ribosomal RNA is filed under the name uncultured bacterium. Its description in RNAcentral is "partial 16S ribosomal RNA". It matches the Rfam family "Bacterial small subunit ribosomal RNA", at positions 28 to 507 of the family's 1533-position model. The record is from RNAcentral.
GAUGAACGCUGGCGGCGUGCCUAAUACAUGCAAGUCGAGCGAACGGACGAGAAGCUUGCUUCUCUGAUGUUAGCGGCGGACGGGUGAGUAACACGUGGAUAACCUACCUAUAAGACUGGGAUAACUUCGGGAAACCGGAGCUAAUACCGGAUAAUAUUUUGAACCGCAUGGUUCAAAAGUGAAAGACGGUCUUGCUGUCACUUAUAGAUGGAUCCGCGCUGCAUUAGCUAGUUGGUAAGGUAACGGCUUACCAAGGCAACGAUGCAUAGCCGACCUGAGAGGGUGAUCGGCCACAGUGGAACUGAGACACGGUCCAGACUACUACGGGAGGCAGCAGUAGGGAAUCUUCCGCAAUGGGCGAAAGCCUGACGGAGCAACGCCGCGUGAGUGAUGAAGGUCUUCGGAUCGUAAAACUCUGUUAUUAGGGAAGAACAUAUGUGUAAGUAACUGUGCACAUCUUGACGGUACCUAAUCAGAAAGCCACGGCUAACUACGUG